This is a long non-coding RNA of Hydra vulgaris (swiftwater hydra), 460 nucleotides long. RefSeq lists it as uncharacterized. Lineage: Eukaryota; Metazoa; Cnidaria; Hydrozoa; Anthoathecata; Hydridae. The record is from RefSeq and is a predicted model, not a curated record.
CAUACUCCCAAGACGACUUGAAAUUGCUUUGAAGUUUGCGGCUCGAUGAUCUUUCUGUUUUUCACUUCCAUGUUUAUACAAAAAUAGUUGGUUUGUGUUGAUUUAUGAUUAAGAACAGAAAAAACAUUACUUCAACAAAAGUUUUUUACUCAUAAAAGUUAUGUAAAAUCUCCUAUGAAAUAGUUCAUCUAAAUCUAAUUACCUGCAGGAUUCCUGUUAAAAAGUAAAGCUAAAAAAACUUUAAAACUAGAUGAAGGCAAAUAAAGAAGUUAAAACACCGUUAUUCGUGAUGUCAUUCCGAGGCUUCAGUUCUCCGUGGAUGAAAGCACUUUUGAAGCAAAACAAUAAACUUUAAAGCAGAAUUUUGUCAUGCGAUUGUGGUGGCAAUAUGAGAUAACUACCGUGAAUAUUACUAUCGUAAAACAGUUUUGCAUCAAAUUAUUGUAUAAUAUUAGUUUUU